Molecule: long non-coding RNA, 241 nt
Filed under: Gossypium raimondii (Peruvian cotton)
Lineage: Eukaryota; Viridiplantae; Streptophyta; Magnoliopsida; Malvales; Malvaceae
Description: long non-coding RNA (GRAI_LNC002942)
Source: RNAcentral
UGGGAGUGUUUGGGCGGUCUCAAGUUCAAGCCUUCGCGUGGGUAAAUUUUGGUAUUUUGAAUGAAUUAGGCUUUACUCUUGUUUAGUAGUCUUUUAUUUGAUUGUUGGGUAAAUUACAUCAGAAUGGGCCUGCUGGUCUAGUGGUUAAAUGGUUUGUUAUUAUGGUGGAGGUCUCGUGUUCAAAUCCUUAUGCAGGCAAGGGUAUUAUUUUUUUUACUCAGAUUUCGGGAUAGAGUUGUGU